Mya arenaria is the source of this 3102-nucleotide long non-coding RNA. RefSeq lists it as uncharacterized. NCBI's taxonomy places the organism in Eukaryota, Metazoa, Mollusca, Bivalvia, Myida, Myidae. The transcript has 3 exons. The record is from RefSeq and is a predicted model, not a curated record.
GGGAUACAUAAUGUAGUUAGUGUCGGUUAGAACCAGCCGCCCACCCGGGUAGCCCAGUUGGUUAGAGCGCCAUGCUAGUGUUCCGGCGGUCGUGGGUUCGAGCCCCACACCGGGCGCACUUUUCCUCCCAGGAGAUAAACAGAAACACAGAGGUGCUAUACUUUCUGAUGGAAAAGACAACAAAAGCAUCUCCCAUCAUUUUGGCGUGGCUCAGAUCAAGAGGAGAAAUUUAAAAAAGGUGAUGGUUGGGCACAAACAAGAAGACAUAGAUCACAGGCGUAUAGCAUAUGAGUAGACAGGAGUUUCACACUCUGCCAGACUUACUUCCUCAGACGAGCAGAUUUAGGCUUCUCAAGAUCAGGCACUGCACACUAAGACAUAGUCUUUGACUACAACAAGGCCUUAGGGGAUGAAAGUACAGAGACCUGUCCAAUUGAAAUCAAUUCUGUGCUGCGUCAUUUCUUUAUUCUAGAGGUUGAUGGACAUGAUUUAUGGCAUCAAGUGUGCAGUUUGUCAACUAACUAUCAACACAGCAGUCUUGUUCACCAGCUGUGCAACUUGAGCUUUUAGCUUUAUUGCUUGAAGCCACUGUAUAAGAGGAGGGAAGGUGCAGACUCAUCAAAAAGUCUCAAAGUUGAAACUAGGAAAAGAAGUUUGUCAAGAGUGUGAAUAUUUGCUUUGAAAACAAUUGUUACAAUGAUUUGGUUUCCUUUGAAACUUGAUACAUACUAUGUGUAUGUUGAAUGAAUUGAGAUGCUUAAAUAAAGAACCACUAUUCAAAUAUCAGGAAACUGCAUUUUUCAUACUAAAUUGGUAAAUGAUGUCACCAUUUCCUGUAUGUAUUUAGAUAAGAUAUGUUUCCACAAUUAAUAUUUUUAGGGACUAUUUCUCAACGUAAUGAAAUAGAUUAAGCGUUAUAUGAGCUUAAUAUGUGUUUUCUGUUUCCUUAAAAUUGAUGAAAAAUUGUCAGAAGGUAAUGAGACCAGUAUCCAUUACUGCAAUCAUACAAUAAAAAAUACAGGGACAAGCCCACUGCUCAUAUCUGCUAAUAUGAUUAAACCUUGUUUAGGGGCAUGAGGCAAACAGAGUUACUUUCAAAUGUUAAAGAUGCACUAUCACACUUUGGAUGUUUUGACAACUGUUUUCAUUUUUAGCUCUACUGGCCAAAGGCCAGAAGAGCUAAUGCGAUGGUAAUGUGUACGUAGUAUGUGCGUCUGUAAACAAUCCUCGUUUACAUGAUACAGCCUACAGUUCCUUUCGAAAACCAGCCAGAUCCGCCCAUGUAUGCCUAGUUUAUGGGCCUUGAUAGUAUACAAAAAUCAGUGUGUCAGUAGGCAAUUGCUCGUUAACAUGAUACAGCCUUUUUGAUUGUAUCUCAAAGAAACUUGUACAGUAUCUACAUAUCCAUAUGAGCUCGGUUCCUUUCGAAAACCAGCCAGAUCCGCCCAUGCAUGCCAAGAUUAUGGGCCUUGAUAAUAAAAAAAAAUAGUGUGUCAGUAAACAAUUGCUAUGUAACACGAUACAGUCUUCAGUUUUGAUUGUAUCUUGAUGAAACUUGUCCAGUAUAUCCAUUAGAGCUCAGUUCCUUUCAAAAACCUGAUCUGCCCAUGUUUCCUGGUUUAUUGGCCUUGAAAUUAUUAGAUGAUGGGCCUUGAUAGUAUAAAAAAUGCUAUUUUGUAAUAAAUGCUUGCGAAUAUGAUACAGUCUUCAGUUUUGAGUAUUCAGAUACCCAUAAGGGGUUGAUUCUUUUCGAAAACAGUGAUGUUGACCACACAAACCCAGCCAGUAGAGCAUAGGCCCUUUUGGGCCUCUUGUUUGUUUUGGAUUGGUACCAUCCAGUCUUUGCGAAAAAUGCAUGGAAACCAGUAAUAUAAGACUACUGACAAAAAAUUCAAUUGCAGACUUUUUUAUUUAAGUUAAAACAUUGAUGUUUUAUGCACUUUUCUUAAACCGUUAGUAACAUUAAUCUUCGAAGAAAAUAUGAAAUCUGGGAUUUGAUGUUUUGUCAGCAAUCUUUUACCAUUGGUUUGCUGAUAUUUACGCAAAAAUUUGCUCAUUCCAAGACAAAACAAAAGUUGUUAAAACGGCAUAUCUGUGAGAAUGCAGCUCUAAAUGUUUUGGCAAACAUGUUUUUGAUUUGGCAGCACAAUCAAUCUUGAACAUUGCUUGAUUUUACUGCUGUAUUAGAAAUUACAGGGGUAAUGGGGGAUUUUUUUUAGUGUUUUUAUUGCUUUUUGUGAUUCAUACAGUCAUACUUCAUUCCCCAGGGCACAACUUACAAAUAGACAGAACAGGAAAAUGGUCAUUUUAAAAGGUCAAGGACAAUGCAAGUUGAACAAUCAUAUUGUUCAUGGCUUGUAUUUUUGGUAUAUUUUGUUGCAUAUAUGCUAUAAAAAAGUUGAAAGUUAAAAAUAACUUAUAGUUGAAAUGAUGGCUUUGAAUGGUUUUGUCAGUUGAGAAACAGCACUAUUAAGAAAUAUGUUAAUGGUACUUUAUUAUUUUAAUCAAUUUUAGAUAUUUGUAUGAAAAUUAUUAUCUUAUUUUGUACAUGAGACCUUUUAAACAGUUAUUUAUAAUUUAACAAUGUGUAAAUGAUCAAAACUUAAAACUGCACUUUCACAGAUUGUCAUUUUAGACACUUUAAAAAUUUUGUCUCAAAAGCUGAUUUGGUUAUCAUUCCUUUAAUUCAGUCAUAUUAGAUAAUUCACAAUAGAACCAAUCAAAAAUGUUUGGUAAGACUGCCGAAAAGUUCAUUUACAUUAAAUUGUUCGUAAUGCUACUAUACCCAUAAAACAUCAUUUUAGCCAUAAAUAUGACAAAAUGCAAUCUGAUCUUAUUUCAGAAGUCUUAUAUCACUUAAAAUUGGGUCUAUGCAAAAAAUGGUCUAUUUAUAGACCAACAAUAAAAGAGUGCCGGUAGUCAAAACGAUCAAUUAGUGAGAUUGCAGCUUUAAAUACACCUUUUUAAGUCCGCUGUAAAAUUCCAAUGGUUUGCCUCAAUCUUUAAAGCUAGCAUACUGUUUAAUUGACAGCCAUACUUUUUGUUUAAAAGUGUCAUGAUAUGUUUGUACAAUGUGUUUAUAUAAUUCAUUAAAGAAGUCAA